RNAcentral lists this long non-coding RNA (1020 nucleotides) under Apteryx haastii (Great spotted kiwi). Its description in RNAcentral is "lncRNA (ENSAHAG00000015068.1)". Lineage: Eukaryota; Metazoa; Chordata; Aves; Apterygiformes; Apterygidae. The record is from RNAcentral.
UUGAUCAGUUCUCAGCGCCGCUGUGGCAGCCCUGGAAGGCCAGCCCAGCUGCCUAACCGCGUACGCCUUUCGGAAGAAGCUUCGUUUUUCAAGGUCUGUAAGAUAAACGCGAGGUUCCCGCGGCCCCCCCGGCCCUGCGGCCCUCCCCGGCAGCGCCCGCCGAGCCGCGCCCGCCCGCAGGAACCGGGCCGCCCGCGAAGCGCAGGGCCCGCCCGGCCGCGGAGCGAGGCAAAGCGCCCCCGCGCCGCCCCGGCCCCGGCCCCGGCCCCGGCCCCGGCUCCGGCCCCGGCUCCGGCCCCGGCCCCAGAGCCGCCUCCAGCCACGCCGCCGGCUCCGUCCCCGAGGCGGCCCCGCGGCCCAGCCCCCCACGGCAGCGCUCCCGGCUGGCCCGAGCCGCCGCCUGCCGCAGACCCUCGGCUGCGGGCGGGCAGCGGGGCCGCGGAGCGGGGGGCCUCCGCCGCACUCACUCUGCCACACCAGGCGCUUCAGCCCCCGCUCCGCCGCCGCCGCAGCCCCCGUCGGCGCCAUCUUGCCGCGCGCCCCGCCUCGCUUCGCUUCGCCUCGCCCCGCCGCUGCGCAGCUCCCCGCUGCCUCGCCCCGCCCCGCCCCGCCCUCUUCAGGGGCGCGGCCGGAGGGCAGCGGGCCGGGCGGCGGCAGCGGGCAGCAGCGGGCCGGGCGGGUGCCCUCGCCCCGCAGGCCCCACUAGCGGGUGUCGGGUGCUACAGCGAGCGUCACGGAGCACACUGUGCUCAUACGCGGUUAGGCAAAAAAGGGCUUGUAGGGCCUGGAAAUUCCAGUGUUGCAUUGCGGGGGACAACAGGCGCGUUAGAGACGCAGCAGGUGUUGAACCGCGAGGGCCCGCAGGGAUGCGGAGCCUCUCGCCCGGGCGAGGGCCGCGCUGCUGAGCGGUACGGAGCCGCCGCCCGCACGCACGCAGGCCGCCGAGGGCAGCCGGCAGGACGCGGCCGGUGUGAGGCGCUGCGGAAACCUCUACAGCCGCCUGCACAACACAAAACGUGA